RNAcentral lists this long non-coding RNA (500 nucleotides) under Cyanistes caeruleus (blue tit). RNAcentral describes it as "lncRNA (ENSCCEG00000008627.1)". Lineage: Eukaryota; Metazoa; Chordata; Aves; Passeriformes; Paridae. The record is from RNAcentral.
UGGGUGUAGUCUGAAUUUUAUUUUAAUUUAUUUUUCAUCAUUUCACAGACUCCUGGGACAUUUUAAGUAUGGAUCAAGUCAAGACAAACAUGAGAUGCCUUGGUUGCUUGUCUGUAAAAAGGACCUGGGCUUUUCCAGUGCAGCAGCACUCCUGUCCAGCAGUCUUUGCAGAUCUCUGCUCCUGCCUGUGGCUGAAGCAACACUGCAAUGGGAUGCUGCUGCUGCGUCACUUGCAUUCUUCACCCCGACCCAGCAGUAACUCUUUCCAGACUACCAGGAGCAGUCCAGGCACUUAUUUCCUGCUCCAUUCCCUCUCCAAGAGCUUUGUGCAUAGGGCGAGUGCAUCCCCUCUCCCUCAGCAGAGGAGCUGCUGCCAGCUCAGACAGAGGUCUCGGUUGACUGCAGAAAGGAGAAGGGAGGAGCAUGUCAAAGGGAGGUCAGAUCCUGCCAGGGUUUCCUGGGAAAUGAGGUUUCGCUGUAUUUUGCCUCUUCGGGGCUGA